AAAUUGAAGAGUUUGAUCAUGGCUCAGAUUGAACGCUGGCGGCAGGCCUAACACAUGCAAGUCGAACGGUAACAGGAAGCAGCUUGCUGCUUUGCUGACGAGUGGCGGACGGGUGAGUAAUGUCUGGGAAACUGCCUGAUGGAGGGGGAUAACUACUGGAAACGGUGGCUAAUACCGCAUAACGUCGCAAGACCAAAGAGGGGGACCUUCGGGCCUCUUGCCAUCAGAUGUGCCCAGAUGGGAUUAGCUUGUUGGUGAGGUAACGGCUCACCAAGGCGACGAUCCCUAGCUGGUCUGAGAGGAUGACCAGCCACACUGGAACUGAGACACGGUCCAGACUCCUACGGGAGGCAGCAGUGGGGAAUAUUGCACAAUGGGCGCAAGCCUGAUGCAGCCAUGCCGCGUGUAUGAAGAAGGCCUUCGGGUUGUAAAGUACUUUCAGCGGGGAGGAAGGUGUUGUGGUUAAUAACCGCAGCAAUUGACGUUACCCGCAGAAGAAGCACCGGCUAACUCCGUGCCAGCAGCCGCGGUAAUACGGAGGGUGCAAGCGUUAAUCGGAAUUACUGGGCGUAAAGCGCACGCAGGCGGUCUGUCAAGUCGGAUGUGAAAUCCCCGGGCUCAACCUGGGAACUGCAUUCGAAACUGGCAGGCUUGAGUCUUGUAGAGGGGGGUAGAAUUCCAGGUGUAGCGGUGAAAUGCGUAGAGAUCUGGAGGAAUACCGGUGGCGAAGGCGGCCCCCUGGACAAAGACUGACGCUCAGGUGCGAAAGCGUGGGGAGCAAACAGGAUUAGAUACCCUGGUAGUCCACGCCGUAAACGAUGUCUACUUGGAGGUUGUGCCCUUGAGGCGUGGCUUCCGGAGCUAACGCGUUAAGUAGACCGCCUGGGGAGUACGGCCGCAAGGUUAAAACUCAAAUGAAUUGACGGGGGCCCGCACAAGCGGUGGAGCAUGUGGUUUAAUUCGAUGCAACGCGAAGAACCUUACCUGGUCUUGACAUCCACGGAAGUUUUCAGAGAUGAGAAUGUGCCUUCGGGAACCGUGAGACAGGUGCUGCAUGGCUGUCGUCAGCUCGUGUUGUGAAAUGUUGGGUUAAGUCCCGCAACGAGCGCAACCCUUAUCCUUUGUUGCCAGCGGUUAGGCCGGGAACUCAAAGGAGACUGCCAGUGAUAAACUGGAGGAAGGUGGGGAUGACGUCAAGUCAUCAUGGCCCUUACGACCAGGGCUACACACGUGCUACAAUGGCGCAUACAAAGAGAAGCGACCUCGCGAGAGCAAGCGGACCUCAUAAAGUGCGUCGUAGUCCGGAUUGGAGUCUGCAACUCGACUCCAUGAAGUCGGAAUCGCUAGUAAUCGUGGAUCAGAAUGCCACGGUGAAUACGUUCCCGGGCCUUGUACACACCGCCCGUCACACCAUGGGAGUGGGUUGCAAAAGAAGUAGGUAGCUUAACCUUCGGGAGGGCGCUUACCACUUUGUGAUUCAUGACUGGGGUGAAGUCGUAACAAGGUAACCGUAGGGGAACCUGCGGUUGGAUCACCUCCUUACCUGAAAGAA
Molecule: ribosomal RNA, 1552 nt
Filed under: Salmonella enterica subsp. enterica serovar Albany
Lineage: Bacteria; Pseudomonadati; Pseudomonadota; Gammaproteobacteria; Enterobacterales; Enterobacteriaceae
Description: bacterial SSU rRNA
Rfam family: Bacterial small subunit ribosomal RNA
Source: RNAcentral